GCGAGCGUACGGUCCAUGAGGUGAACAAUCACGUGAAGGCUGGCCCUAGCCCCAGGCGGGAACACAAAUAUCGGGGUGCAGCCAUGAUGAGCUCUAAAUGAAUAUAUGCAUGCCAAUAUGAUGCAAUAAUUCCAAUCUCAAAGUAAACUCACCUGAACUUAUCUACGCAUACCGUAGGAUCGUUUGGCAUUUCACGAUUUCUUAACAAUGCAACAUUUUAAAUAUAACAUUAUUGAAUCAUGGCAUGAUAUGCAUAACUCAGUUCAAAGCAUUUGUGGAAACUAUAAAGUUUAUAUAUAUAUACACACACACACACACACUAUAAAAAGGAAAAAGACCCAUUCACCUAAGGUUAGUGCUAUAACUCCUUAACACGAAUAUCGAGGCGUCACGAAUGAUCGUUGUCUAAAACAAAUAUUCAGUCACGUUUAAGAAUUUUUAUCGAUAGAACACGUAACUUACAUAAAACACAUCCCCAAAGAUGUUUUAGAAUGAUUUGAGACCCAUUGACCAAAAGUCAAUCGUUGGUCAAAGAUCGACGGUAGGGUCCACAACCCUACAUAACUCAAUCCGGAAGAUCCGCAUCACAGAUAUCAUAUCUGUAACUUCCAAAGAUACUCAUUAUGCUUCUAAAACAUCAUACUAAAGUUUCAUUACGAUCCAACGGUUGGAUAUUCGCCAAUUGCAAAUUCAAUUGGCGGUUAACGUUUUAUUUUAUGAACUAACAAAUCCGAUUCGGGAAGAUCC
Molecule: long non-coding RNA, 747 nt
Filed under: Malus domestica (apple)
Lineage: Eukaryota; Viridiplantae; Streptophyta; Magnoliopsida; Rosales; Rosaceae
Description: long non-coding RNA (MDOM_LNC009297)
Source: RNAcentral